RNAcentral lists this ribosomal RNA (519 nucleotides) under uncultured bacterium. Its description in RNAcentral is "bacterial SSU rRNA". It matches the Rfam family "Bacterial small subunit ribosomal RNA", at positions 551 to 1071 of the family's 1533-position model. The record is from RNAcentral.
UAACUGGGCGUAAAGGGCACGCAGGCGGUGACUUAAGUGAGGUGUGAAAGCCCCGGGCUUAACCUGGGAAUUGCAUUUCAUACUGGGUCGCUAGAGUACUUUAGGGAGGGGUAGAAUUCCACGUGUAGCGGUGAAAUGCGUAGAGAUGUGGAGGAAUACCGAAGGCGAAGGCAGCCCCUUGGGAAUGUACUGACGCUCAUGUGCGAAAGCGUGGGGAGCAAACAGGAUUAGAUACCCUGGUAGUCCACGCUGUAAACGAUGUCGAUUUGGGGGUUGAGCUUUGAGUUUGGCGCCCGUAGCUAACGUGAUAAAUCGACCGCCUGGGGAGUACGGCCGCAAGGUUAAAACUCAAAUGAAUUGACGGGGGCCCGCACAAGCGGUGGAGCAUGUGGUUUAAUUCGAUGCAACGCGAAGAACCUUACCUACUCUUGACAUCCAGAGAACUUUCCAGAGAUGGAUUGGUGCCUUCGGGAACUCUGAGACAGGUGCUGCAUGGCUGUCGUCAGCUCGUGUCGUGAG